This 497-nucleotide ribosomal RNA is filed under the name uncultured bacterium. Its description in RNAcentral is "partial 16S ribosomal RNA". It matches the Rfam family "Bacterial small subunit ribosomal RNA", at positions 28 to 507 of the family's 1533-position model. The record is from RNAcentral.
GAUGAACGCUGGCGGCGUGCCUAAUACAUGCAAGUCGAGCGAACAGACGAGGAGCUUGCUCCUCUGACGUUAGCGGCGGACGGGUGAGUAACACGUGGAUAACCUACCUAUAAGACUGGGAUAACUUCGGGAACCGGGACCUAAUACGGGCUAUGAAUUUAAACCGAAGGGUUUAAUGGGUAACGCGGUUUUUGCUGCCACUUUUAGAUGGAUCCGCGCGGCAUUAGCUAGUUGGUAAGGUAACGGCUUACCAAGGCAACGAUGCGUAGCCGACCUGAGAGGGUGAUCGGCCACACUGGAACUGAGACACGGUCCAGACUCCUACGGGAGGCAGCAGUAGGGAAUCUUCCGCAAAGGGCGAAAGCCUGACGGAGCAACGCCGCGUGAGUGAUGAAGGUCUUCGGAUCGUAAAACUCUGUUAUUAGGGAAGAACAAAUGUGUAAGUAACUAUGCACGUCUUGACGGUACCUAAUCAGAAAGCCACGGCUAACUACGUG